UUUCCGUAGGUGAACCUGCGGAAGGAUCAUUAUUGAAUGACCGAACUGCGAGAUCUCUCGCUCACCCCACAGGUCGUGCACCCCCGCGGGCCCUCACUCACAUCCAUCUCAACCCUAUGUCAACUACCGCGUGGAUACACCUUUCGCAAGAUCGGAGGGGUGCGUACGUUUUCACACAAACAUUGUAUGCAAUGUAGAAUGUAUUUUUUGUUUUUGCGAUCACGCAAUCAAUACAACUAACAACAACUGUUCUCUUGGCUCACGCUUCGAUGAAGAACC
This 279-nucleotide unclassified non-coding RNA is filed under the name plant metagenome. RNAcentral describes it as "partial contains small subunit ribosomal RNA, internal transcribed spacer 1, and 5.8S ribosomal RNA". The record is from RNAcentral.